AUUGAACGCUGGCGGCAUGCCUAACACAUGCAAGUCGAGCGGAUGAAGGGGGCUUGCUCCUGGAUUCAGCGGCGGACGGGGGGGUAAUGCCCAGGAAUCUGCCUUGUCUUGGGGGAUAACGUCCGGAAACGGGCGCUAAUAUCGCAUCCGACGUGAUGGAGAAAGUGGGGGAUCUUCGGUCCUCUCGCUUUCUGAUGAGACUAGGAGGGGUUUGCUCGGUGGAGGGGUAAAGGGCUAACCAGGCGGCUAACCGUAACUGGUCUGAGAGGAAGACCAGUCACACUGGAACUGAGGCAGGGUCCAGACUCCUACGGGGGGCAGCAGUGGGGAAUACUGCAGGAUGGGGCAAAGGCUGAUCCGGCCAUGCCGGGGGUGUGAAGAAGGUGUUCGGAUUGUUAAGCACUUUAAGUUGGGGGGAAGGGCAGUAAUUUAAUACCUUGCUGUUUUGACGUUACCAACAGAAUAAGCACCGGCUAACUUCGUG
Molecule: ribosomal RNA, 484 nt
Filed under: uncultured bacterium
Lineage: Bacteria
Description: partial 16S ribosomal RNA
Rfam family: Bacterial small subunit ribosomal RNA
Source: RNAcentral